Molecule: long non-coding RNA, 397 nt
Filed under: Linum usitatissimum (flax)
Lineage: Eukaryota; Viridiplantae; Streptophyta; Magnoliopsida; Malpighiales; Linaceae
Description: long non-coding RNA (LUSI_LNC001432)
Source: RNAcentral
GUGCGCAGGCGAGGUAAAUAAUCCGUCACCAGAACAAAGAUCUACCAAAAACCCGGAGGCGACGACAGCCAUCGCCAAUAGAAUCAGCUGCUGCAUGAAGGUCCGUCGCAUUUUCACUCUUCUUCUUCUUCAGUCGGAGAAAACGAGAAAGAGAUAACUACAGAAGAUUAGAGAUUCGUGCUCGAUCUUCACCUACUUGGCUUAUUAUAUAUGUAUUUUGGAUUGGGCGUUACAAAAAUAAAAGAAAGGAAAAUAGAGAAACGGCUUAGAGGAAUGGAAUAAUAAGGAAAGUUGGGGGAAUUGCAAGGAAAAGCGGUUGACUGUAGAGUGGAGUUAAGAAGAGGCGUCGCUGCGACGCCUGCGAGUGCCUUGGAUAGUUAUGAAACAGACAGAGAUG